UAGAGAUUAGUGCUCUAUCUGAUAUGUGAGUGGUAAAUAUUUGCUCCCAAGAUGUAGGCUUUUUAUUUACUGUUUGGGUUAUUUGCUUUGUGGUGUUUAGCUUUUUGAGUUAUUUAAGUAUUCUAGAGAUUAGUGCUCUAUCUGAUAUAUGAGUGGUAAAUAUUUGCUCCCAAGAUGUAGGCUUUUUAUUUACCUCACUGAUUGUUUGUUUUGCUGAAAAGAAGCUUUUUAGUUUGAAUCCAUCCCAUUUUUGAUUCUUGAUUUUAAUUCUUGUGCUAUAGGAGUCUUAUUAAGAAUACGACAUGAUAGAGAUUUGAGCCUACUUUUUCUUCUGUUAGAUGCAGAGUUCCUAGUUUAAUUCCUAGGUCCUUGAUCCACUUUGAGUUGAGUUUUGAGAAUGGUGAGAGAUAGGGGUUUAUUUUCAUUUUGUUGCAUAUGGAUUUGCAGAUUUCCCAGUACUGUUUAUUGAAGAGGCUAUCUUUUAUCCAGUUCAUGUUUUUGGCACCUUUGUCUAAUAUAAGAUAAUUGUAAUUUUGUGGGUUAGUCUCUGUGUCUUCUAUUCUGUACCAUUACUCUACUAGCCUGUUUUGGUACCAAUACCAUACUGUUUUUGUUACUAUUGCUCUGUAGAAUAGUUAAGAUCUUGUAUAAUGAUGCCACCUGCUUCACUCUUCUUGCUAAGGAUUGCUUUAUUAGCUUUUCUGCAUUUCUUAUUUUUCCAGAUGAAUAUCAUGACUGCU
Molecule: long non-coding RNA, 740 nt
Filed under: Marmota monax (woodchuck)
Lineage: Eukaryota; Metazoa; Chordata; Mammalia; Rodentia; Sciuridae
Source: RNAcentral